Molecule: unclassified non-coding RNA, 338 nt
Filed under: soil metagenome
Description: partial contains 5.8S ribosomal RNA, internal transcribed spacer 2, and large subunit ribosomal RNA
Rfam family: 5.8S ribosomal RNA (bases 1-120)
Source: RNAcentral
GAUGAAGAACGCAGCGAAAUGCGAUACGUAGUGUGAAUUGCAGAAUUCAGUGAAUCAUCGAAUCUUUGAACGCACAUUGCACCUCUCGGUAUUCCGGGAGGUAUGCCUGUUCGAGCGUCAUUUGUACCCUCAAGCUCUGCUUGGUGUUGGGUGUUUGUUCCGCCUCUGUGUGUGAACUCGCCUCAAAACAAUUGGCAGCCGGCGUACUUGUUUCGGAGCGCAGCACAUUUUGCGAUCCAGAUCAACGUACAGCGGCAUCCAAGAAGCCUUAUUUAACGCUCUUGACCUCGGAUCAGGUAGGGAUACCCGCUGAACUUAAGCAUAUCAAUAGCGGAGGA